GGGCGGUUAACUCAGCGGUAGAGUGCCACCUUCACACGGUGGAAGUCACUGGUUCGAUCCCAGUACCGCCCACCA
This 75-nucleotide transfer RNA is filed under the name Nitrosospira sp. Its description in RNAcentral is "tRNA-Val". It matches the Rfam family "tRNA". From Rfam's summary of the family: Transfer RNA (tRNA) molecules are approximately 80 nucleotides in length. Their secondary structure includes four short double-helical elements and three loops (D, anti-codon, and T loops). The record is from RNAcentral. RNAcentral also lists the same sequence under 20 other names. Lineage: Bacteria; Pseudomonadati; Pseudomonadota; Betaproteobacteria; Nitrosomonadales; Nitrosomonadaceae.